Molecule: ribosomal RNA, 256 nt
Filed under: uncultured bacterium
Lineage: Bacteria
Description: partial 16S ribosomal RNA
Rfam family: Bacterial small subunit ribosomal RNA
Source: RNAcentral
UACGUAGGGUGCGAGCGUUGUCCGGAAUUAUUGGGCGUAAAGGGCUCGUAGGCGGUUUUGUCGCGUCGGGAGUGAAAUCCACUGGCUUAACUGGUGGCUUGCUUUUCGAUACGGGCAGACUGGAGGUAUGCAGGGGGAGAACGGAAUUCCUGGUGUAGCGGUGAAAUGCGCAGAUAUCAGGAGGAACACCGGUGGCGAAGGCGGGUCUCUGGGCCGAUAUUGACGCUGAGGAGCGAAAGCGUGGGGAGCGAACAGG